This 450-nucleotide ribosomal RNA is filed under the name uncultured bacterium. RNAcentral describes it as "partial 16S ribosomal RNA". It matches the Rfam family "Bacterial small subunit ribosomal RNA", at positions 29 to 523 of the family's 1533-position model. The record is from RNAcentral.
AACGAACGCUGGCGGCAGGCCUAACACAUGCAAGUCGAGCGAAGCCUUCGGGCUUAGCGGCGGACGGGUGAGUAACGCGUGGGAACGUGCCCUUUGGUACGGAAUAGCCCCGGGAAACUGGGAGUAAUACCGUAUGUGGUCGAGAGACGAAAGAUUUAUCGCCAAAGGAUCGGCCCGCGUUGGAUUAGGUAGUUGGUGGGGUAAGGGCCUACCAAGCCGACGAUCCAUAGCUGGUUUGAGAGGAUGAUCAGCCACACUGGGACGUGAGACACGGCCCAGACUCCUACGGGAGGCAGCAGUGGGGAAUCUUAGACAAUGGGGGAAACCCUGAUCUAGCCAUGCCGCGUGAUCGAUGAAGGCCUUAGGGUUGUAAAGAUCUUUCAGUGGGGAAGAUAAUGACUGUACCCACAGAAGAAGCCCCGGCUAACUCCGUGCCAGCCGCCGCCGUAA